Long non-coding RNA from Nicotiana attenuata, 660 nucleotides. RefSeq lists it as uncharacterized. The transcript has 2 exons. The record is from RefSeq and is a predicted model, not a curated record. Lineage: Eukaryota; Viridiplantae; Streptophyta; Magnoliopsida; Solanales; Solanaceae.
GCCUAUGUUUAGCCACGUCUGAUGAUUUGUCCCAUUGGAUUAGAACUGUAUUUAAAUGAAAGGAAAAAAGCCAUUCUUCCAAAAUUAGCUGAAAUCUGCGAGCAACUAGCCCCUCUUUUUUUUUCCCAAAAAAAAUCUGUAUUAUUGCCAAUCUCCCUUCUCUUCAUACAAUCUUCAAUUAUACGAAAAAAAAAAAAGGAAGGUUCAUUUCACAAGGUGAAAGAAGAAGAUGGGUCAUCACCACCAUCAUCAUCACCACCACCACGAAGGAGGCAGUCCAUAUGAUGAUCCAUUUUUGGCAUGUUGUUGCUGCCCUUGUUUGCUACUCUCCUCUGUUUUCUCCAUGUUUAGCAGGUGUAUCUUUAUGGCCUGCUAUCCUUUUCUGCAGUGUCUUGGAUGGGAUGAACACAGACACCAUCAUCACCACAGCCAUUUCUGUUAAUCCCAAAUUAAAGGAAUUGUUUUUUUUUUUUUUUGAGUCUUCAACUCUAGCAACAUAAAUGUGUGAAUUUGUGUUCAAUUUCAGAGGAUUGUUUCAGUUUGGUUGUUGUGUAUACUUUUUCUUGUACCUGCUAGUUUACUUUUGAAUUAUUGUUUGUUCACUCCGAGUCCAAAGGGGUUGAAGAAAAAUAGAAUCUUUUCAACAAUUUGCUGUCUUAA